GGGGCUAUCUGCAGUCGAGCGACAGACGAGGAGCUUGCUCCUCUGACGUUAGCGGCGGACGGGUGAGUAACACGUGGAUAACCUACCUAUAAGACUGGGAUAACUUCGGGAAACCGGAGCUAAUACCGGAUAAUAUAUUGAACCGCAUGGUUCAAUAGUGAAAGACGGUUUUGCUGUCACUUAUAGAUGGAUCCGCGCCGCAUUAGCUAGUUGGUAAGGUAACGGCUUACCAAGGCAACGAUGCGUAGCCGACCUGAGAGGGUGAUCGGCCACACUGGAACUGAGACACGGUCCAGACUCCUACGGGAGGCAGCAGUAGGGAAUCUUCCGCAAUGGGCGAAAGCCUGACGGAGCAACGCCGCGUGAGUGAUGAAGGUCUUCGGAUCGUAAAACUCUGUUAUUAGGGAAGAACAAAUGUGUAAGUAACUAUGCACGUCUUGACGGUACCUAAUCAGAAAGCCACGGCUAACUACGUGC
RNAcentral lists this ribosomal RNA (477 nucleotides) under uncultured bacterium. Its description in RNAcentral is "bacterial SSU rRNA". It matches the Rfam family "Bacterial small subunit ribosomal RNA", at positions 44 to 508 of the family's 1533-position model. The record is from RNAcentral.